Molecule: long non-coding RNA, 998 nt
Filed under: Heterocephalus glaber (naked mole-rat)
Lineage: Eukaryota; Metazoa; Chordata; Mammalia; Rodentia; Bathyergidae
Description: lncRNA (ENSHGLG00100043583.1)
Source: RNAcentral
GACCUCGGUAAGGCGUGCACAGACCUGCCUGUCUGCAGCGGGCUGAUUCAUCGCGUUCCGUGCCACUCGGGACCUCGGUAGAGUGUGGGCAGACCUGCCGGUCUGCAGCGGGAUGAUUCAGCAUCUUCCAUGUGACUCGGGACCUUGGUAGGGCGUGCACAGACCUCCCUGUCUGCAGCAGGCUGAUUCGGCGUGUUCUGUGCGACUCGGGACCUCGGGUCACCACAUUGCCCAGACUGGGCCCAAGCUUGCCAUUCUCCUGCCUCAGCCUCCCAGAUUGCUGUGAUUACAGCUCUCCUGAACCACUUUCAUCCUCCUUUUUCGAGCUGGAUUCUCAACUCUCUUGCUGGGCUCCCAUGUCCUUUCCUGCAACACUGGCUGGUCACAUGCAGGGGACAGAGGCUGCAGAGCACUUCUGCUCUGGGCAUCCACGUGCUUUCUGCCACCCACGAGUAGCUGAGUUCUCCCAGGGGACAGCAGUGGAAGGAGGGCCCCUCUGCUAUGCCUGAGAACAUCUGCUGAACUGGAAUCAUGGGGUCCAGAAUAUGCUGAAUACAGGUGGAUUGUGCUUCUGUGCCCAUUUUAUGAGCAAGGAAAUUGAAGGCAACAGGCUGGAAGACUUACUGAAGUCCACCUAACCAGUAAAUGAGCUAUCCAAGAGACCUCUUCUGCCUCUCCCCUUCCUGCCCACCGUGGGCUUCAAAGGUGUAUCUCAGCUCUGCCCCUGGGGCUCUUAGAAAAGAGUUUUCCUUGAGUCUCAGUGGAGACUUUCGACUUGGACUUUUCAACAAUGCUGAAACUGUUAAGACUUUGACAACUCUUAGAGAUGGACUAAAUGCAUUCUGCAUAAAAAGAUGAGCAUGAGUCUCUUGGAGAUCAAGGCCAGAAUGGUAUGGUUUCAGUUAAAAAUGUACCCUAAAGCCUCAUGCACUCAGAAGCUUGGCUUUUGGAAGGUGAUUGGAUCAUGGAUUCACAGCUGAACAUCCUCUUAGGGGUGG